GGUAAGGUGGCUCAGUGGUAGAGUGCUUGUCUUGCAUGCAUGAGGCCCUGGGUCCAAUUCCUCAGCACCA
Molecule: transfer RNA, 70 nt
Filed under: Dipodomys ordii (Ord's kangaroo rat)
Lineage: Eukaryota; Metazoa; Chordata; Mammalia; Rodentia; Heteromyidae
Rfam family: tRNA
About the family: Transfer RNA (tRNA) molecules are approximately 80 nucleotides in length. Their secondary structure includes four short double-helical elements and three loops (D, anti-codon, and T loops). Further hydrogen bonds mediate the characteristic L-shaped molecular structure. tRNAs have two regions of fundamental functional importance: the anti-codon, which is responsible for specific mRNA codon recognition, and the 3' end, to which the tRNAs corresponding amino acid is attached (by aminoacyl-tRNA synthetases). tRNAs cope with the degeneracy of the genetic code in two manners: having more than one tRNA (with a specific anti-codon) for a particular amino acid; and 'wobble' base-pairing, i.e. permitting non-standard base-pairing at the 3rd anti-codon position.
Source: Rfam by way of RNAcentral